RNAcentral lists this ribosomal RNA (169 nucleotides) under Chapmannia reghidensis. RNAcentral describes it as "5.8S ribosomal RNA". It matches the Rfam family "5.8S ribosomal RNA". From Rfam's summary of the family: 5.8S ribosomal RNA (5.8S rRNA) is a component of the large subunit of the eukaryotic ribosome. It is transcribed by RNA polymerase I as part of the 45S precursor that also contains 18S and 28S rRNA. Functionally, it is thought that 5.8S rRNA may be involved in ribosome translocation. The record is from RNAcentral. Lineage: Eukaryota; Viridiplantae; Streptophyta; Magnoliopsida; Fabales; Fabaceae.
GUACAGAACGACUCUCGGCAACGGAUAUCUCGGCUCUUGCAUCGAUGAAGAACGUAGCGAAAUGCGAUACUUGGUGUGAAUUGCAGAAUCCCGUGAACCAUCGAGUCUUUGAACGCAAGUUGCGCCCGAAGCCCUUAGGCCGAGGGCACGCCUGCCUGGGUGUCACCGA